Molecule: small nuclear RNA, 107 nt
Filed under: Sus scrofa (pig)
Lineage: Eukaryota; Metazoa; Chordata; Mammalia; Artiodactyla; Suidae
Also listed under: 1 other name
Source: RNAcentral
GUGCUCGCUCCAGCAGCAUAUAUACUAAAAUUGGAAUCAUACAGAGAAGAUUAGCAUGGCCCUUGCACAAGGAUGACACGAAAACUCGUGAAGUGUUCCAUAUUUUG